This 1377-nucleotide long non-coding RNA is filed under the name Elaeis guineensis (African oil palm). RNAcentral's name for it is "long non-coding RNA (EGUI_LNC041182)". The record is from RNAcentral. Lineage: Eukaryota; Viridiplantae; Streptophyta; Magnoliopsida; Arecales; Arecaceae.
UGGAUAGCUAGUCUGUGAAGAAGUGAUCUCUUAUGCUGUCUUAUUGGCUCCUCAGUUCUGAUAUCUACUACAAUGGAUUCUUGUGUAAGAGCCUCAUCAUCAUCAUCUGCUAUAUCAUGAGUGCUCAUACUGAUAUCCUUGAUACCCUCGACACCCUCAAUCAUCUUAAUCUAAUAUAAAUCUCAAUCUGAUGUGUUGCUGCUCGAGAUAAUUAGAGAUAUUUUCAUCAGUUUGUAUAUGUAGCAUGUGUCCAAUGCUAUUAAUGUUCAUCUCAAUCUGUACGUCUUUCACUUUAAAAACUAGACUUCUAACUCAUCCUCUUAAUUUUUGAUCAUUUAUAAUUCUUUCUUGCUUUAUAAAAUCAAAAUCAUUUUUUUUUCAUGAUCAUUUCGAAGCUUGAUCCCUUUUUUUUGCAUGGGACAAUUAUUUGGAGAAGCCCUAAAUUCUUGAAUUUAUGCAUGUGACUUCUUCUUCCUUUAGGUGAUUACUUCCAAGGUGCCAUUGGAGAACGAGGACCAAAAGAAUAAGAUAGACAUGAAGAGGAAGAGGAAGGUCCAAUUUUGAUGGGAGAGAGGUUUGAAAGAGAUUUUGGUAUGAAAGAAUUGAAAAUGAAAUAAUAGAGCCUUAGAAUAUUUCAAUUAAGAAAUUUGUCCCAAACAUGGGUCGACUCUUGCUAAAUCAAGAGUCAGCUCCUGAAGAGGGAUCAACUAUAGUAAAAUUAAGAGUUGGCUCCUCACAGAACUGUUUUUUCUCUUGAAAUUAUGAGUCGACUCUCUAAGUUCAAAAGUCAACUCCUCAAAAUAAAAAAUAGUUCAAGGAUUCAAGAGAUAUUAGCUUGAAAAGAAUAGGACCAAUGGUGAAUAAAAAUUAAUGAUAAAAAAUGAUGUUUAAAUCAGAAUAAGUGAAUCAAUUUGGAGGAUCAAGAAUUAAUCAAUUGGAGGUUUAAUUAUCAAUCAAAUUAGAUGAGAUCAAGUCAAGGGGAAUUUAGACAAAGGCUCUAAGAAUGAGGUUCACUAGGAGAUUACCAAGUCCUUAAGGAUCAAACUAAGAUGCAAUCAUAUAAAACAACUAUAUCAAGCAUAAGACCUUUUAUGAAUAAUUGUCUUAUCUUGAAGUUCUUAGGUCAUGCAAUUUUUUAGAUAUUUCAAUAAUUAGAUAGCUUAUGAGAAUGUCAAAGUUUACUGUGUAAGAUUUUCACACACAUAAUUUCAUAUGAUUUGCAUGCAAGUAUUUUCUUAUGCAGCCAAGUUUAUUUUAAUUUAGAUCUCUCAAAUUAUAGCAUAAUAUGAGAGUUUAAGGGAGCAUGUUGAAUUUAGAGUAAAAACUUAUGCUUAUAACAAUUAAAAUGAUACAUAGGAGAGAGCAUAUUAAUUUUGA